This 377-nucleotide ribosomal RNA is filed under the name uncultured eukaryote. RNAcentral's name for it is "partial 18S ribosomal RNA". It matches the Rfam family "Eukaryotic small subunit ribosomal RNA", at positions 592 to 976 of the family's 1831-position model. The record is from RNAcentral.
CAAUAGCGUAUAUUAAAGUUGUUGCGGUUAAAAAGCUCGUAGUUGGAUUUCGGGGUGGCCUGCCUGGUCCACCGCAAGGUGAGUACUGGUCAGCCGCCCUUCCUCUCGAAAGCCCCGACUGCUCUUCAUUGCAGUGGUCGGGUAGUUCGGGACGUUUACUUUGAAAAAAUUAGAGUGUUCAAGGCAGGCUAUCGCCUGAAUACAUUAGCAUGGAAUAAUGGAAGAGGACCUCGGUCCUAUUUUGUUGGUUUCUAGGGCCGAAGUAAUGAUUAAGAGGGACAGUUGGGGGCAUUCGUAUUUAAUUGUCAGAGGUGAAAUUCUUGGAUUUAUGAAAGACGAACUAGUGCGAAAGCAUUUGCCAAGGAUGUAUUCAUUAA